AAUUUUGCGCAAUGGGGGCAACCCUGACGCAGCGACGCCGCGUGGAGGACGAAGUCUUUCGGGAUGUAAACUCCUGUCAGUGGGGACGAUAAUGACGGUUCCCACAGAGGAAGCACCGGCUAACUCCGUGCCAGCAGCCGCGGUAAUAC
Molecule: ribosomal RNA, 149 nt
Filed under: uncultured Acidobacteriota bacterium
Lineage: Bacteria; Pseudomonadati; Acidobacteriota
Description: uncultured Acidobacteria bacterium partial 16S ribosomal RNA
Rfam family: Bacterial small subunit ribosomal RNA
Source: RNAcentral